AAACUCAAAGGAAUUGACGGGGACCCGCACAAGCGGUGGAUGAUGUGGAUUAAUUCGAUGCAACGCGAAAAACCUUACCUACCCUUGACAUGUAUGGAAUUCUGCUGAGAGGUGGAAGUGCCUGAAAGGGAACCAUAACACAGGUGCUGCAUGGCUGUCGUCAGCUCGUGUCGUGAGAUGUUGGGUUAAGUCCCGCAACGAGCGCAACCCUUGUUAUUAAUUGCCAUCAUUUAGUUGGGCACUUUAAUAAGACUGACGGUGAUAAACCGUAGGAAGGUGGGGAUGACGUCAAGUCCUCAUGGCCCUUACGGGUAGGGCUUCACACGUCAUACAAUGGUCGGUACAGAGGGUAGCCAACCCGCGAGGGGGAGCCAAUCUCAGAAAGCCGAUCGUAGUCCGGAUUGUUCUCUGCAACUCGAGAGCAUGAAGUCGGAAUCGCUAGUAAUCGCGGAUCAGCAUGUCGCGGUGAAUACGUUCCCGGGUCUUGUACACACCGCCCGUCACACCAUGGGAGUGGGUGAUACCAGAAGUAGGUAGUCUAUCCGCAAGGAGGGCGCUUACCACGGUAUGAUUCAUGACUGGGGUGAAGUCGUAACAAGGUAACCGUA
Molecule: ribosomal RNA, 608 nt
Filed under: uncultured bacterium
Lineage: Bacteria
Description: bacterial SSU rRNA
Rfam family: Bacterial small subunit ribosomal RNA
Source: RNAcentral